GGUGGAACCCGCUUCUGGGAAGCCAGUCAACCGAUUCGCAGUCACACAAAUUCCACGUGAGCGUUGUGGCCACUGUAUGUGGAUUCUCCAAAUGUCGAUGGAAAUCCGUAGAGUUUAUAGUCUUGAUUGACUGUUUUCUUGAGUGAUUUCUCGAAGAAAUAUUUGUUUUUUUUUUCUCGAAGGAUCAAAACGACUGUAUGUAUCCUCGAAGUAAGACUGUUGUCUUCUAGCUUGCAGGUUCAGAAUGACUGCGCAGCUUGUCAGCAGCAAGGCUGUAUUCUCGAAGGACCAAAAAACUGUAUGGUCCUGUCUGUGUGAAUCCUCGAAGAAAGACUGUUGUCUUGUAGAAAGUAAUCUCGAAGGACCAAAAAACUGUAUGGAACAGUCUAUGGUUGAGUGAGAGAUGACAUGUGAGGGAAGGUUACGAGGGAAACCAAACCCAAUGAAAGUCGAUCUAACACUAAAUUUAUUAAGAUUAUUUUGUGUAUAUAUAGGCAGAAGUACAGACGUCAUUUGACGUCAUUCGUAGCAAACAAAUAUCAAUUUCAUUAGAAAUCUGCAUAAGAAAAAUAACAAUUUCGUAAUAAAUCAGCUAAAUUAAAGA
This 604-nucleotide unclassified non-coding RNA is filed under the name Melitaea cinxia (Glanville fritillary). RNAcentral's name for it is "misc RNA ENSMCXG00005005995.1". Lineage: Eukaryota; Metazoa; Arthropoda; Insecta; Lepidoptera; Nymphalidae. The record is from RNAcentral.